RNAcentral lists this ribosomal RNA (949 nucleotides) under uncultured eukaryote. Its description in RNAcentral is "bacterial SSU rRNA". It matches the Rfam family "Eukaryotic small subunit ribosomal RNA", at positions 124 to 1113 of the family's 1831-position model. The record is from RNAcentral.
GCUGGUCUGCUACCCCGCAUGUCCGUGGAAAUUCUACAGUUAAUACGUACCGUCUUCCUCGGAAGUGUUGCAUAUUACUGUGAACAUUCGGCGGGGGCAACCCUGUCAACCAUGAACACUUUUAUGCGCGAAUCGUGUCUCGACACGAGAGUCCAUCAAAGUUUCUGACCUAUCAGGUUCCGACGGUAGGGUAUUGGCCUACCGUGCCUAUAACGGGUAACGGGGGAUUAGGGUUUGAUCCCGGAGAGGGAGCAUGAGAGACGGCUACCACAUCUAAGGAAGGCAGCAGGCGCGUAAAUUACCUAUCCCUGACACAGGGAGGUAGUAAACAGAAAUAAUGACGCAUGAUUCUAAUCGUGCGAUCGGAAUGAAUAGCUUCUAAACAAAGCUAUGAAAUCCAUUGGAGGGCAAGUCUGGUGCCAGCAGCCGCGGUAAUUCCAGCUCCAAUAGCGUAUAUUAAAGUUGUUGCAGUUAAAAAGUUCGUAGUCGACCUUCAUCUGCUCGGGCGGUUUGGCGUCUAUGACGUUCAACCACUUUCAGCAGAGAGCGUGUAAGGCGCAUCCCAUGCGUUUCGUAUGUGGGUGUCUCUUGCAUCUUACUUUGAGUGAAUCGGCGUGUUCCACGCAGGCUGUCGCCUUGAACGAUUUACCAUAGAAUAACCAGAGUAUGGGAACAUCCCUUUGUUUGUUCGGGGGUGUUUUCUAUACCGAUAAGCACGGCCGAGGGCAUUCGUAUUCAACUGCCAGAGGUGAAAUUCUUUGAUUAGUUGAGGACGAACUAUUGCGAAAGCAUUUGCCAAGGACGUCGCUUUUGAUCAAGAACGAAAGUUAGGUGAUCGAAGAUGAUUAGAUACCGUCGUAGUCCUAACUAUAAACGUUGCUAUCCAAGCGUUGGAUUGGUGACAUUAUACCUUUCCAGUUCUUUUUGAGAAAUCACGAGUCUCUGAGUU